Molecule: unclassified non-coding RNA, 175 nt
Filed under: uncultured Glomus
Lineage: Eukaryota; Fungi; Glomeromycota; Glomeromycetes; Glomerales; Glomeraceae
Description: sequence contains 18S rRNA gene
Rfam family: Eukaryotic small subunit ribosomal RNA
Source: RNAcentral
AGCAGCCGCGGUAAUUCCAGCUCCAAUAGCGUAUAUUAAAGUUGUUGCAGUUAAAAAGCUCGUAGUUGAAUUUCGGGAUUGGCGCAUCGGUCGUGCCUUACGGGGUAUGAACUGGUGCAGUCAAUUUCUCACCUUCUGGAGAACCGCGAUGUCCUUAAUUGGGUGCCGCGGGGAA